UGGUUUUCCAGGCAAAUCCGGAAAAUCAAGGCUGAGGCGUGAUGACGAGGCACUACGGUGCUGAAGCAACAAAUGCCCUGCUUCCAGGAAAAGCCUCUAAGCAUCAGGUAACAUCAAAUCGUACCCCAAACCGACACAGGUGGUCAGGUAGAGAAUACCAAGGCGCUUGAGAGAACUCGGGUGAAGGAACUAGGCAAAAUGGUGCCGUAACUUCGGGAGAAGGCACGCUGACACGUAGGUGAAGUGAUUUACUCAUGGAGCUGAAGUCAGUCGAAGAUACCAGCUGGCUGCAACUGUUUAUUAAAAACACAGCACUGUGCAAACACGAAAGUGGACGUAUACGGUGUGACGCCUGCCCGGUGCCGGAAGGUUAAUUGAUGGGGUCAGCGCAAGCGAAGCUCCUGAUCGAAGCCCCGGUAAACGGCGGCCGUAACUAUAACGGUCCUAAGGUAGCGAAAUUCCUUGUCGGGUAAGUUCCGACCUGCACGAAUGGCGUAAUGAUGGCCAGGCUGUCUCCACCCGAGACUCAGUGAAAUUGAACUCGCUGUGAAGAUGCAGUGUACCCGCGGCAAGACGGAAAGACCCCGUGAACCUUUACUAUAGCUUGACACUGAACAUUGAGCCUUGAUGUGUAGGAUAGGUGGGAGGCUUUGAAGUGUGGACGCCAGUCUGCAUGGAGCCGACCUUGAAAUACCACCCUUUAAUGUUUGAUGUUCUAACGUGGACCCGUGAUCCGGGUUGCGGACAGUGUCUGGUGGGUAGUUUGACUGGGGCGGUCUCCUCCUAAAGAGUAACGGAGGAGCACGAAGGUUGGCUAAUCCUGGUCGGACAUCAGGAGGUUAGUGCAAUGGCAUAAGCCAGCUUGACUGCGAGCGUGACGGCGCGAGCAGGUGCGAAAGCAGGUCAUAGUGAUCCGGUGGUUCUGAAUGGAAGGGCCAUCGCUCAACGGAUAAAAGGUACUCCGGGGAUAACAGGCUGAUACCGCCCAAGAGUUCAUAUCGACGGCGGUGUUUGGCACCUCGAUGUCGGCUCAUCACAUCCUGGGGCUGAAGUAGGUCCCAAGGGUAUGGCUGUUCGCCAUUUAAAGUGGUACGCGAGCUGGGUUUAGAACGUCGUGAGACAGUUCGGUCCCUAUCUGCCGUGGGCGCUGGAGAACUGAGGGGGGCUGCUCCUAGUACGAGAGGACCGGAGUGGACGCAUCACUGGUGUUCGGGUUGUCAUGCCAAUGGCACUGCCCGGUAGCUAAAUGCGGAAGAGAUAAGUGCUGAAAGCAUCUAAGCACGAAACUUGCCCCGAGAUGAGUUCUCCCUGAGACUUAAAGUCUCCUGAAGGAACGUUGAAGACGACGACGUUGAUAGGCCGGGUGUGUAAGCGCAGCGAUGCGUUGAGCUAACCGGUACUAAUGAACCGUGAGGCUUAACCUUACAACGCCGAA
Molecule: ribosomal RNA, 1435 nt
Filed under: Salmonella enterica subsp. enterica
Lineage: Bacteria; Pseudomonadati; Pseudomonadota; Gammaproteobacteria; Enterobacterales; Enterobacteriaceae
Description: partial 23S ribosomal RNA
Rfam family: Bacterial large subunit ribosomal RNA
Source: RNAcentral